RNAcentral lists this ribosomal RNA (578 nucleotides) under uncultured Bacteroidota bacterium. RNAcentral's name for it is "bacterial SSU rRNA". It matches the Rfam family "Bacterial small subunit ribosomal RNA", at positions 338 to 916 of the family's 1533-position model. The record is from RNAcentral. Lineage: Bacteria; Pseudomonadati; Bacteroidota.
CCUACGGGAGGCAGCAGUGAGGAAUAUUGGUCAAUGGACGCAAGUCUGAACCAGCCAUGCCGCGUGCAGGAAGAAUGCCCUAUGGGUUGUAAACUGCUUUUAUUUAGGAAGAAACCCCCUGACGUGUCGGGGGCUGACGGUACUAAACGAAUAAGGACCGGCUAACUCCGUGCCAGCAGCCGCGGUAAUACGGAGGGUCCAAGCGUUAUCCGGAAUCAUUGGGUUUAAAGGGUCCGCAGGCGGGCUGAUAAGUCAGUGGUGAAAUCUCUCAGCUUAACUGGGAAACUGCCAUUGAUGCUGUUAGUCUUGAAUUCGGUCGAAGUAGGCGGAAUGUGUCAUGUAGCGGUGAAAUGCAUAGAUAUGACACAGAACACCGAUAGCGAAGGCAGCUUACUAGGCCUGAAUUGACGCUCAUGGACGAAAGCGUGGGGAGCAAACAGGAUUAGAUACCCUGGUAGUCCACGCCGUAAACGAUGAUUACUCGAUAUCAGCGAUAUACUGUUGGUGUCUAAGCGAAAGUGAUAAGUAAUCCACCUGGGGAGUACGAUCGCAAGGUUGAAACUCAAAUGAAUUGACGG